AUGAGGUAUUUCUGACUCACUAUUCGAUAUGGGACUACAAUCCCUCCUCCAACAAUAGUAUCAAUAUAGAAUCAAUAACUUUAUGCACUGCACUUCUUGGCACCCUUUAUAUUGAAUUAUGAUGUGGAAGGCUCCAUUUAGAACCAAAACAAUUUCUAUGGUUCAAACGAGAAUAAGAAAAAUACCCAUCCAUUCCAAUGAUUGGUAAUAGCAUUUGCCUUGACGUCACAAAUAUCUCACCAAC
Molecule: long non-coding RNA, 244 nt
Filed under: Elaeis guineensis (African oil palm)
Lineage: Eukaryota; Viridiplantae; Streptophyta; Magnoliopsida; Arecales; Arecaceae
Description: long non-coding RNA (EGUI_LNC019384)
Source: RNAcentral